This 4827-nucleotide long non-coding RNA is filed under the name Triticum aestivum (bread wheat). RNAcentral's name for it is "long non-coding RNA (TAES_LNC024573)". Lineage: Eukaryota; Viridiplantae; Streptophyta; Magnoliopsida; Poales; Poaceae. The record is from RNAcentral.
AAGAAACCGUCGGCCCCUUUCGUACAGGGGGUUUGGAUGGGCGGAUCCUCUCUAAUCCCCUUCGAUCCUCCCGAACCCACGCGACUCAGAACCCUUGUCGAAGGGCUCAGGGAAUCUCUCGACCGAGCGCACGCCGCCAGCCACGGAGGGGAGGAGCCCCGCCGCCGGAUCUUCAACGCCGCCGCCACCAAGGGGAAGAGCCCCGCCGCCGCCACCGAGGGGAGGAGCCCCGCCGGCGAGAGGAGGAGCCCGCCGCCGCCGCCCGAUUCUACCUGACGCCCCGACGCCGCCCGACGCCGGCGUUACUCCUCCAGAAUACUGGCGUUCUCCCUGGUGGUAAGUCAUCGCCGCCUCUCCCCUCCUCUCCCCACCUCUGUCCUAACCCUACCCGGCGAGCUCGCCAAGAACGUUGUCCUCUUCUAGCCCCUCAUCGACCCUAACCCUACCCGGCGAGAUUGCCGUGAUUUUCUGAUGGUGAUGGUGAUGGUCUGAUGGAUCUUGGGGGAUUGACAGUUUGUAAACUACAUUUUUCACCGUAGGUGGUGAUCUGAUGUUGAUGGUGAUUGAAGUGUGGUGUAGAGCUGUUAAUUAGUGAUGGUCUGAUGUUGUGGUAUCUGAAGUCUAAACGACAUCUUUCUUGUUUGUAGCCGCUGUUUACUAAUUCAUGAACAAAUCUACUGCCUUCCUUUCUUUGUCAUUUGUAUUUGUAUAUACUGUAUACUCUGAUUUGGGUGCUUGUUCUGAUUUGUAGCGACUGACAUAGCAAAGUGAAUCGUCCUGCCGCACAGGUCAACCGGGACAGAGAGAUUCACUGGCUUUGCUGGUGUGCAUUAUGAUGUUUCCGAGAUGAGAUCACUCGGCAAAAUUUUACAAAUGUGUUUUUAAGGAUACCUGCUACGGUGCGGUGGAAUCAGUGUUUGGCAAUAAAGAAACAGUGAUGAUACAUGUUUGUUUAAGUAAUAUAGAGUAUAGUUGUUCUUGCUGGAUCGAGAGCACCUAUGCUAGCUUAGAUAUGAUACAUGUUUCUUCCACAGCCCAAAGGGGAUUAGCUUCUUCUCAGCCAUUGGAGUAAUGGACAGUGGGUGUGUUUAGACUAAAUCGUUCGUUUCCUUGGCUUGGAUCAGCACUAACUAAAUGUGCUGCCUCCAGUAGUGCAAUAACUCUACAGUGCAUCAUAAAUUGUUUGCUCAUCAGACUUUGUUGUGAGUUUUCUCUUCCACGAAAAAACUGUUCGGUCUGGAAGUUUCUGUAUUCUGUAUGUAGUUGGCUGAUUUUGGAGCAAUGGAUUGUGUUAUGAAUGUGUAAUCUCUCGCUGCUUGUUGGUCUGAAGAAAUAUUCAUGGGACUGCCCAGUAAAUGUUCAACGUUACUUGCGUGUCACAUCAGAUUCUUCUUGCUUUUGUGUUUGUUACUAUUUGAUUUAAUCUGGAAGUAGUUCUGUACCUCUUGAUGUAACUCUAACAAGGCCAUGAAAUAAUUCAUACUAUUUCUUCAUUGUACUUUUCCCUUUGCAAACAGUCUACAGCCUCUGAAGUUGAACGGAGCUUGCCUUUGUUCACUUUUUAAUUUUGUAUUUUGUGAUGAAGGCGCUACGGUUCCAUAUGCACGAUCUAUAGUUGUUAGUUGUUAAAAAAUCUCUGCCAUGCAGUUGUGCUCUUGAUAGUAGUAAUAAUGUACAGUAAGAUUUUAGGUCGAUGAUCCAUUUCAUAUAAUUCCUUGAAAUAUAUCUGAUCAUUGUUGUUUAUGCAAGGGAAAAGUCUCUUUGUUUGCUGACAUGAAUUUUGUUUUCCCUCCAGGUCCCACUGAACCAGGUUGAGAAGUGGAACAAGCAGAGGAAGAAUGUGACAUUGGCAGGGUCCCUCGAAAUCGUCUGUUUGAGAGUCUCGGUUGCUUUUGUGUCUGCGCUACUGCUGUCUUAUGGUUGGAAUUUAUGCUCCUGUCAUGUACUCUCUUCCAACAAUAGUUAAGCAUGCAGAACAUCAAGUGAUGCUUUUUUCUAUAUUGCAUAAAUAGUUAAGCAUGCUUAUGUAUUCUCAGCAUGCUUUUUUCUAUGUUGCAUAAAUAGUUAAGCAUGCUUAUGUAUUCUCAGCAUGCUUAAAUAUACGCAUGUCUUGCCUAGGACUUUUCUCUAUGUUCCAAGUCAUGCUGAUGUAAGAGAAUAUGUCGCUGUUAUGUGACAGCGCAAUUAUGUGAUGAUAUAUUGAUUCCAAGUCAAGCAAAUUAUGUUGUUCAUGUGAAGAACUGUUGCAAGAUUAGAUUUUUAACUGUUUUACAACAUUUUAAUUCAAUAUGGCAAUCCCUUUCUGUCAAACAGUGUUUUGUACGGAGGGGGAUUUGAGGGAUGUGUGGCUGGAGGGGGAUUUGAGGUUUCAAGGGGAUUGGGUGAAAGAGGGGGAUUCACCAAAUCCCCUGGAAUCCUCUCCUCCCAAAACCUCCACAAUCCCUUGCUGUCAAACAAGGCCUAAGGAAAACUGGAGGAUACACCCGGAUUGGGUUCAGAGGUAGGUGUUUUAUUUAUUUCUCUCAAGCAUGUAUAUUAAUGGGACACACUAACUAAAUUGUUAUGCUUUCUGAUAUGCAGGUUUAAAUGGGCUAGGCUUUUACCUUUUGCGCGUCUGGUUGGGGCCACUGAUACCUCUACAUGCCUUGGCAUUGACGCCUCUUUGCUCACCUGCUUAGUGGACUGAUGGAGGCCCGAGAUCCACACGUUUCACUUCCGUUGGGGAGAGAUGGCUCAUAAUUUGUAGGAUGUGUCACUUUUGUUGGGACCACUAUUCAAAAUAUCGGUCGAUUAUCGCUUAUCGGGGUCUGAUUGAUAAGAUAAGUGAAUAUCACUGGUAUUUAUCGGUCUAACCAAUAUAUCGAUCAUACAAUCGAUAUAUCACCGAUAUUCUCCGACAUUUGCCAAUAUUGACAAGUAAAUCUAUGGGACCCAACUGAUUUAGCUCCCGAUUUUUUUAUUUUGGUUGAGUUUUUGUGGUCUUGAUGCCUCCUAUUUGUGUAGAUGGCUACUUUCAAUACAUCCCAGGUCGUUUAAGAGGAAUACGGAUGACAUGGCUUACAAGUUUGCCAUGUUGAUUGAUCCAGAUGAUACAGAAAGCUGAGAUUUUUAAAAAACCUUGCCAAUAAAUAGUCUACCGAUAAAAUUGAUAAAUUGGCCGAUAAGUCGAUUUAUCUCUUAUCUUGGGUUGAUCGAUAAGUUGAAGCGGUAUCCUGAACAUUGGGUUGGACUACCGUUGGCGGUUCCUGCCAUUGGACCAUUCGAGGCACCAGCUCCUUGGGAGCAGGAAAUUGCACAACAUUUCCAGGGUGUUUAUGAGGGUGCUCCGACCUUUGCCUCGGAGCCUCACGGACCGCUUGAUUGGUUGCUUCAUUUUCGGGUUAGUUCACCUGUCUCAUAUCUUUUAUUUGUCAUGCAUUUGGUUUUACACGUACCUUCUCUAUUUACUAAUACCUUAUCUUUGCUCAAUACAGAUACAGAAGUUUCCGGCUAUCCACAAUUCCCCUUGAAUGCGACAUAGAUCACUCGGAGCCUGGAGGCAUACCUACCGUGGCUUCUCGGGAAGGUGAUGUUUACAGAGAACCAUGUCACUAGUAUUAGUGCAUGCUACAUCCCUAUUGCACCGGAGAUCGCGAGAGCUGAGUUGCUGGACCAGAUCACACAGAGGAGUUGGGGUUUUGUGGUUUUAGUGGUUACAUACCGAGGUAUGUGCAACGGUUGCCAACUUGUGUUGCAGAAGGCAGCUCUUCUUGGAUGCCCUCUAUUUUUACAGUUGUGGUCGUGGGGAGAGGUUCUCUAUAGGACAACCCAACAUACAUGUUGAAGAGGGUUGGCCUGUGGGGGAGCUUUUCGAUGCUGACCACAAUGACAUGCCUACUUUCGGUAUGUGCUGGACAUGUUGCAAGGUAUGUCUGAUCUUAUAAUUUUUUGCAUUUCCCCAUGUACACUAUGGUUGAAACUAACUUUUGUUUUGCGAAGAGAUGCUUUGCUAGUGAUCAGACUAGGUGAGCCUACAUGGCACUAAACAAGCAGUUCGAUUUAUACACUAGGGUGAUCUGGCAGCCGUACACGCAAGCAGCCAUAGAUGCAAGAUACCCCAACGGUAUUUCUGAGCUAUGCACAAGGGAUCAGGAUUACUGGAUGGCAAAAUCGAAGAUCAUCUUCGAUGUCUUCGUCGAGGGCAUGGCCCAACAGAGGGUUAUGAGGCAAUUUGGUCUUCGACAGUUGGUCUAGCCUUCGCCUACAGAGGCUCCGCUGCCACCAGUAGUCCACAUGUAUUGUCUACUUAUUCUAUGUUGGAUUUUCUUUCACAAUUGACCAUAGUGAAGCAUUACUUAAUUGUUGAACACACACCACAAUUUUAGGAUCACAAGGAAGGGGGUCAGCAGGACACAGACUCAGUGGCUGGAGAAGUGAUACGUCUCCGUCGUAUCUAUAAUUUUUUAUUGUUCCAUGCCAAUAUUAUACAACUUUCACAUACUUUUGGCAACAAUUAUAUGAUUUAUCGGACUAACAUAUUGAUCCAGUGCCAAGUGUCAGUUCCUAUUUGUUGCAUGUUUUUUGUUUCGCAGAAUAUCCAUAUCAAACGAAAUCCAGUGCCAAGUCUCAGUUCCUAUUUGUUGCAUGUUUUUUGUUUCACAGAAUAUCCAUAUCAAACGAAGUCCAAACGCGAUAAAACUUUACGAAGAUUUUUUGGAAUAUAUGUGAAUUUUUGGAAGAAGAAUCAACACAAGACGGUGCUCGAGGGGCCCACUGCCCACCAGGGCACGCCAGGGGGUGCCCGGCGUGCAGAUGGGUAGUGGGACCUUGUAAGGCGGUUGCUGCCCU